UAUAAUGGGUCAGCGACUUAUAUUCUGUAGCAAGGUUAACCGAAUAGGGGAGCCGAAGGGAAACCGAGUCUUAACUGGGCGUUAAGUUGCAGGGUAUAGACCCGAAACCCGGUGAUCUAGCCAUGGGCAGGUUGAAGGUUGGGUAACACUAACUGGAGGACCGAACCGACUAAUGUUGAAAAAUUAGCGGAUGACUUGUGGCUGGGGGUGAAAGGCCAAUCAAACCGGGAGAUAGCUGGUUCUCCCCGAAAGCUAUUUAGGUAGCGCCUCGUGAAUUCAUCUCCGGGGGUAGAGCACUGUUUCGGCAAGGGGGUCAUCCCGACUUACCAACCCGAUGCAAACUGCGAAUACCGGAGAAUGUUAUCACGGGAGACACACGGCGGGUGCUAACGUCCGUCGUGAAGAGGGAAACAACCCAGACCGCCAGCUAAGGUCCCAAAGUCAUGGUUAAGUGGGAAACGAUGUGGGAAGGCCCAGACAGCCAGGAUGUUGGCUUAGAAGCAGCCAUCAUUUAAAGAAAGCGUAAUAGCUCACUGGUCGAGUCGGCCUGCGCGGAAGAUGUAACGGGGCUAAACCAUGCACCGAAGCUGCGGCAGCGACGCUUAUGCGUUGUUGGGUAGGGGAGCGUUCUGUAAGC
Molecule: ribosomal RNA, 637 nt
Filed under: Escherichia coli
Lineage: Bacteria; Pseudomonadati; Pseudomonadota; Gammaproteobacteria; Enterobacterales; Enterobacteriaceae
Description: partial 23S ribosomal RNA
Rfam family: Bacterial large subunit ribosomal RNA
Source: RNAcentral